This 617-nucleotide long non-coding RNA is filed under the name Olea europaea subsp. europaea. Lineage: Eukaryota; Viridiplantae; Streptophyta; Magnoliopsida; Lamiales; Oleaceae. The record is from RNAcentral.
AUUCCUGAUCAGCAGCAAACUAAUAUUACUGAAAUUAUACAUUAAAAAUGUCAAAAAUAAACAUAUUAACACAAGUAGUCUUACCUAUCAAUAUUUUUCCAGUAACAAGAAACUAUUUUGAAAACAUUAACAGGCCAUACAUCUUUUGCAGAAUACAAAUAAGUAAUAUCAUGAAGUGGUAAACACCAAUAUGGUACUCAUAUGUAAGAUAAAUCUGGAAGAAAAGGCAAUACUGAUUUCUAGGAGGUGGCAAACAACAAUUUAAUAUUUGAUAUCAAUUUUCAACAACAAAAUGUCGAUAUCAAUUUUCGCUAAUGGCCUUCACUCUUCUCUAUAAAUUACUCCAAGAAAGUUGAAUAGCAACCACGAAAAGAGAGUUGGGAAAUCCCAAGAACUAUAAUAUCAAUUUCAUCAAAAAACAUCAACGUCAAUUCGGAAAAAGGUCUUUGCUAACAUACGGAACCACUUCAAGAAUGUCUCACGCAAAAAGAGGGCGAGAAAUUCCAUGGAGACACUCUGAUACUCAAGUUGGUAAAAGGAUAAUAAAACCUGAUAAGACAAUGAAUCAAGAAAAUAUUUAAGAACGUAAUUGACCAUAUCUUAGAACCUUGUAGGAC